Molecule: RNase P RNA, 352 nt
Filed under: Luteimonas composti
Lineage: Bacteria; Pseudomonadati; Pseudomonadota; Gammaproteobacteria; Lysobacterales; Lysobacteraceae
Description: RNase P RNA component class A
Rfam family: Bacterial RNase P class A
About the family: Ribonuclease P (RNase P) is a ubiquitous endoribonuclease, found in archaea, bacteria and eukarya as well as chloroplasts and mitochondria. Its best characterised activity is the generation of mature 5'-ends of tRNAs by cleaving the 5'-leader elements of precursor-tRNAs.
Source: RNAcentral
GGAGUCGGCCGGACAGUCGCGUCAUCCCUCGCGGAUGCCGAGGAAAGUCCGGGCUCCUCAGGGCACGGUGCCAGGUAACGCCUGGGCGGCGCGAGCCGACGGAAAGUGCAACAGAAAGAUACCGCCGAACGGUUCUACGGAAUGCGUGGCAAGGGUGAAAUGGUGCGGUAAGAGCGCACCGCGAGCCUGGCAACAGGCCGGCACGGCAAACCCCACCGGGAGCAAGACCAAAUAGGGAGGCUAUGCCGCGGCCCGCGGUGUCUCCGGGUAGGUUGCUUGAGCGUAGCGGCGACGCUGCGCCUAGAGGAAUGACUGUCCUCGACAGAACCCGGCUUACAGGCCGGCUCCGCCG